GCCCGCCUAGCUCAAUCGGAUAGAGCGUCAGACUUUUACGAUGUAGGCGUAGGGCGAUCUGAAGGCUGCGAGUUCGACCCUCGCGGUGGGCU
Molecule: transfer RNA, 92 nt
Filed under: Galerina marginata CBS 339.88
Lineage: Eukaryota; Fungi; Basidiomycota; Agaricomycetes; Agaricales; Galerinaceae
Rfam family: tRNA
About the family: Transfer RNA (tRNA) molecules are approximately 80 nucleotides in length. Their secondary structure includes four short double-helical elements and three loops (D, anti-codon, and T loops). Further hydrogen bonds mediate the characteristic L-shaped molecular structure. tRNAs have two regions of fundamental functional importance: the anti-codon, which is responsible for specific mRNA codon recognition, and the 3' end, to which the tRNAs corresponding amino acid is attached (by aminoacyl-tRNA synthetases). tRNAs cope with the degeneracy of the genetic code in two manners: having more than one tRNA (with a specific anti-codon) for a particular amino acid; and 'wobble' base-pairing, i.e. permitting non-standard base-pairing at the 3rd anti-codon position.
Source: Rfam by way of RNAcentral